CAGCAGCCGCGGUAAUACGGAGGGGGCUAGCGUUGUUCGGGAUUACUGGGCGUAAAGCGCACGUAGGCGGCUUGGUAAGUUAGAGGUGAAAGCCCGGAGCUCAACUCCGGAAUUGCCUUUAAGACUGCCGAGCUAGCAGGUGAGAGAGGUAAGUGGAAUUCCGAGUGUAGAGGUGAAAUUCGUAGAUAUUCGGAAGAACACCAGUGGCGAAGGCGGCUUACUGGCUCAUACUGGACGCUGAGGUGCGAAAGCGUGGGGAGCAAACAGGAUUAGAUACCCCCGUAGUCCCUGUCUCUUAUAC
RNAcentral lists this ribosomal RNA (301 nucleotides) under uncultured bacterium. RNAcentral describes it as "partial 16S ribosomal RNA". It matches the Rfam family "Bacterial small subunit ribosomal RNA", at positions 509 to 807 of the family's 1533-position model. The record is from RNAcentral.